UCGCGAAAACUUUGCAAUAAGCGAAAGCUUGACAGGGCUAUCCCGAGUGCCAUCCGCUGAGGAAGGCUUUUACCCAGUCUAGAACGCUGGGGGAAUAAGGAGAGGGCAAGUCUGGUGUCAGCCGCCGCGGUAAUACCAGCUCUCCGAGUGGUGUGGAUGUUUAUUGGGCCUAAAGCAUCCGUAGCUGGCUAAGUUAGUCCCUUGUUAAAUCCACCGAAUUAAUCGUUGGAUUGCGGGGGAUACUGCUUGGCUAGGGGACGAGAGAGGCAGACGGUAUUUCCGGGGUAGGGGUGAAAUCCUAUAAUCCCGGGAAGACCACCAGUGGCGAAGGCUGUCUGCUAGAACGCGCCCGACGGUGAGGGAUGAAAGCUGGGGGA
RNAcentral lists this ribosomal RNA (377 nucleotides) under uncultured miscellaneous Crenarchaeota group. RNAcentral describes it as "bacterial SSU rRNA". It matches the Rfam family "Archaeal small subunit ribosomal RNA", at positions 339 to 718 of the family's 1478-position model. The record is from RNAcentral. Lineage: Archaea; Thermoproteati; Candidatus Bathyarchaeota.